AACAACAAUAAAAACAAACACUAAUAAUAAGAAUAAGACGUAACGGCUCUAGCAUAAUAAAAACAACAGCAUAAGAGACGCAGCUAACUGAUUACUUUGUAGAGGAUAACAAAAACAGCGGCACAGAUGAUUAGAGAACAAUAAAACUGCAACUCAUGCAGCGACCGUAUCAACUGAAUAUCGCAAUAAUAAAAUCAGCAUCCAAAGCAAUACGUUAACUUUUCAGCGGCUUAAUGUGAGCUGCAAAACAAAGAAGCAGGCAGAUAACAACAACAAAAAUGCCGACAAUAAUAAAAAAAACGCACAGAAUUAUUUAUGGGGAAGCGCAGGCUUCCCCAUAACAUUAUU
RNAcentral lists this small RNA (348 nucleotides) under uncultured Pseudomonas sp. Its description in RNAcentral is "Pseudomonas sRNA CrcZ". It matches the Rfam family "Pseudomonas sRNA CrcZ". Lineage: Bacteria; Pseudomonadati; Pseudomonadota; Gammaproteobacteria; Pseudomonadales; Pseudomonadaceae. The record is from RNAcentral.